Molecule: non-coding RNA, 1865 nt
Organism: Cicer arietinum (chickpea)
Lineage: Eukaryota; Viridiplantae; Streptophyta; Magnoliopsida; Fabales; Fabaceae
Source: RefSeq, a predicted model, not a curated record
AAAAAAUCAAAUAUUAUAAGGACAAAUUUAUCUUUUUAUCAUAAUAUAAAUCAUAUCAUUUUGUUAUGUGUAUCAAAUCUUGAAUAUGACAAGCUAAUCUUAACAACUCUGUUAUCACGUGCACAUCAAACACAUGACAUGAUAAUUCCUUAUCAUUUUCAUAUCAUAUAUUGUCUCUAUACUCCUUAUCCUAUCCUAUCUCUAUCCUAUCAUGUCCAUCAAACAGACCCUUGUUGUUUUUGGGUGAGAAGUCCAUAUGCUUAUUUAUUUUUUACAACUAUGAGUGUAUGUGUUUAUGCUCUAUGUGGGAUUAAAUUGGUAAUGCAAUUUUCGUCCAUAGGAUGAUUUUUUUUAAAAAUAAAAUAAAGAACUCGGAAAAAAAGGGGGAUUUACAAAUAUUCUUUAUAAUAUUUGCAUUUAUUCCCAUUUUUUGUUAAUACUAGCUAGUGUUUAAUAUGAAUUUUGGUUUAAAAUUAAACUUUAUUGGAUGAUUGUUUUGACAAUAAAUGUAGCACCAAUCAAUCUGGAGGUUUGACUGAGAUAAAUGAAGCAUUUGACAGAAUCUUUGGAUUUGUCUCUGGUGUUAUAUUCGUUUUAUCACAAUUAUAAUAAAAAAGAAUAACACCCAAUGUUUUCUCCCAUUGCUUGAAAGGAGAUAGUAAUGGAGGAGUACUUUUAGUUUUUGGUGAUAUUUUGGAGUAAAAUAUUGUUUAUAUAGUCUAAUAGUUUCAUUGCAGUAUAUUCUUUUCCACAUUGCUUUUUAUUUUAUUUUAUUUCUUGAGCUUGUUGUUCUUUUCUCCCCCUUCAAUUCAUUUGAUUUUUUCUUCAACAAAUUUUCAUCUCGUACCACCACACCUUUUGUACAUUUGAAUCAACAUUGUAGUGAAAAAUCAUUUAAAAAUAUUCUCACUUAAUUGAAUGUAAAAUGUGAUAUUGCUAAGAAUCUUCUUAAAAUGCUUCUUGAUAUGUAUUUGUUUGUGUAAUUUCUUACUCUUAUUAUAAUGACAUUGUACAAUAUAGUUGGAUAAUAUUUUUGUUUUUCAUUCAAUUUUAGGUUUCAUUAAACUUUAAAUCUUUAGUGCAUUUAUGUCAAUGAAAAGUACUUUCAAUUAAUCUAAAUAUAUUUGCAGCCUUUUACGAAGGAACUAUAGUUGACAGUGAUACAACAUUGGCAUAUCUUGUUCAAAAAGCUUAUAAUUGUCUUGUUCAUGCCGUUUCAUUAAACUUUACAUCUUUAGUACAUUUAUGUCAACAAAAAAUACUCCAAAUUAAUCUAAAUAUAUUUGCGGCCUUUUAAGAAGGAACUAUAGUGAUACAACAUUGACAUAUCUUGUUCAAGAAGCUUAUAAUCCUCUUGUUCAUGUCCCUCUUACGGCUAAGGAACUAUAGUUGACAAUGGUACAACAUUGGUAUAUCUUGUUCAAGAAGCUUAAAAGCAUCUUGUUUAUACUACGUUGAAAGUGAGAUCACAUAAUGGCUUAUAAGGGUUAGGGAUGUUAGACUCACUUCCAAUUGGAGAGAGAGUUUCAAUUCGUUUUGAUAGUCACCAACCUAUUGAUAAAGAUGUUAAUGGGCUCAUAGGAGGUAUCUUGAUCCAUUGGCAAAAAAACACAAUAAUUUAAUGAAUAAGAAAGUCAAAAUAGACAACCAAUGAGGUGUGGAAUUUUAUAUAUUGAUACUCAAAAGAAUUGAUGGAACAUACUUUAAUCGCAAUCUAACACUCAAUCGAUCAUAGUUUGGAUUUACUCUCUUCCACAACAUGUAAGGUGACCGUUCUUCAUUCAAUCAUGAUACUAUACUAUCAUGUUUUGCACAUCAAAUUAAUUGGUUAUGCCAUGAUACAUAAACGAAAAGUUUAAUUUAAA